This is a long non-coding RNA of Cyprinus carpio carpio, 1581 nucleotides long. Lineage: Eukaryota; Metazoa; Chordata; Actinopteri; Cypriniformes; Cyprinidae. The record is from Ensembl.
GGUGAGGAUUUUCUCUGCAUGCUCGCCAGGGAUUCAGAAAAGCUGCUUUGUGGGGAAAUCUUUUGUGAAAAUACAAAAGAUUACAAAGCAUUUGAAGUGAGCAUAAUUGAAAACAAACCAAUUAGCUAUUAUUGAUAUUUGAAAGGAAUUAGAUUCAUUAUAACAGCAACUAAAUGUUGCCACCACAAUGCUUAUAUGAUGUUAUUUGGCUGCAAAGCUGUUCUGAAUGGUUAUAAACAUAUUGUGACAUGUUACUUACUGGAUCGUAUAAAAAGUCUCUUUAUGAUGAUUGUGUCCCUCAUUCCAUAUUUUGUAAUUUAAUGAAAAUCACAAGAUACCCACAUUAAAAAAAAAACCCACAUAGUUUCAGAUAUCUAUGGCUCAUAGCACAAAUAAUGUGAGAUAUGCAAAACUCAUAAAAUGAAUACGCAGGGUUAAGGGUUUGCUUAAAUCCCUAACCCUAAUUAUAUGCAAUUGUAAUUACGAUAAAUCCAUUCCAUAAAUUUCAGUCUCGUAAUAAAAUGGAUUCUUUGGGCGCUCUGCAAGCAAUAUAAAUGUAAUAAAUAUACAAAUUGCUUAAAAAAGGUGAAGCUUUUAAUACAAGCACAUAAUGGGCAAUCUGCAAAACUUACCGAGUACAGGCUACAGUCGUUCACAUACACUAAAUAUCAGACACAAACAGAAAAAGGAAAUAAAUAGUCCAAAAAAAUCAAACAAUGUCCAAGAGAAGAUAUGUUCAUUCUCAAACUAAAUUGCUUGGAGUUUGUAAGAUUAAGUUCAACAGAAUCAAAGAACCCUUCAGAGAUAAAAUUCUAAAAUGAGACUAACUGAUAUUGUGAAUACAACAUAGUGCUUGAAAAAAAAAUUGCUUGCAUGCUACGUUAAUAGCAUAGAUGGUCUGUGUACACUUGUUCUUUGCCACAAACGGCAAAACAAAAGGUUGAGGGCAAUACAUGAUUGGUUUAAAUCAAAACAUCUCUGCCAACAUCCUCUCAGACCUACAUUAUAUUUUCUUGACUGACCAGAUUGUGAGAAAAAACUAAACAAAAUAUAGCCAGUCUUGAGAGAAGGAGAGAAGUCUAACAUUUAUAAAACUAAAAUUUUCUAUGAAAAACUUUUUGCACUCAGAAUUCACAGUGUCUCUCUGCACCUUUCAGGUACGUGAUGUUACGCAAGACCUGCAUUGUUGGGGUUAAGUCCACUGGAAAUGGUUUCGUAUCCUACAGAGACUAGCGUUAACAUGCUGCUCUCCAUCUCCGAGGACUGUUGAACCUCAGGAACAACAGAAUCCAGCCGCAUCUGUUUCCCUUUCUUCCGUCCCCUUUUGCCCUUUUCUUUAGGUUUGCCGUCUUCCGUGGCGGCUUUGGGCUUGCGGUUGCGUUUCCUUAUCCUUCUCACCGGAGGUUCAGGUUUGGGGUCGGUGUUCCCUGAGAGGAUUCGGAUUUGUCGGUCGAUGACGUUAUCUAUGAUAUCGAGAGCCACGUCCAUCAUGCCGUUACCAAGGCCAUGCGUAACAUUGGCGAACAAACGUGUAUUCAGAGGGUCAUUAAAAAUCUUCCUCAUCUCCUCUAGAUAAUUCCU